Molecule: long non-coding RNA, 736 nt
Filed under: Mustela putorius furo (domestic ferret)
Lineage: Eukaryota; Metazoa; Chordata; Mammalia; Carnivora; Mustelidae
Description: lncRNA (ENSMPUG00000026295.1)
Source: RNAcentral
CUGAGUUUCACAGGAAUUCUGCUCGGGACUGGAUAAAGGCUCAGGCCUGAGGGUAGAACGGAGCUUCUGACUGCUUCCCUUCCUUUCUCACUUGUUUCAUCUGCAAGUGCAAGGGCAGGUGGAACUACUGCCACACCGUGAAUGGCCAUACCAAAGCGCAUUCCCAGGGCCCAGCACAUAACCAAACAGUGGGCAAGAGUCUGUGACUUUCAGCUGACCUAGAUCCGCUGCCUCGGGAUUCCUGACCUUUUUGCCUGUGGUUAGGGUAGGAACUCCUUCAGCAGGAAGUGAAGAAGAAGAGUGAGUUUAAGUGUGGUAACCCGUGCACUAGUAAAACCUGCCUCACAACCGAACUAGCCACUCAUCUUCCCAAAGAACACUGGCGGGGAGGAAGAAUGUUCCCUACCAGUGAGCUGCCGUGGAAUCCUAGAUAUGGGAGAAGGGCCCUGUCCUUCUGACCUUUAAGGAUCUCUCCUUGCCUCAAAGCCCCUGGGUUUUCAGUACGGCUGUGUCCUAGAAGGUUUAUCACAGAAGAAAACUAAGAAAAAUUAACUACGAAAAAGAAAAGAUUUAUCAAACUAACAAAAUUUCAUUUCAGAAUGCUUUAGCUUUCUGGAAAGGAAGUUGUGGUAUUUGGCAUUGUCUGUCCAAGUAUUUGCUGCCCCUCACUGGGGGAAGAUUGUAUCUUCUUAUCUCAGGGAUGUCAGAGCCAGCCACGUGACUUAAGCAAGCCAAG